Perognathus longimembris pacificus (Pacific pocket mouse) is the source of this 905-nucleotide long non-coding RNA. RefSeq lists it as uncharacterized. The transcript has 3 exons. NCBI's taxonomy places the organism in Eukaryota, Metazoa, Chordata, Mammalia, Rodentia, Heteromyidae. The record is from RefSeq and is a predicted model, not a curated record.
UUCUUAGGCUCAAGUGAUUCUCCUGCCUCAGCCCCUUCAACAGUUCAGAAUAGCUAGAAAUACAAACAAGUGCCACCAUAUUCAGGUGAGACACUAUCUUGAUCAACACUAAAAACAAAACAAACAAACAAAUAAAACCUCACAGAACAUAACCUGAGUCCAAGCCCCAGAACUGGCAAAAAAAAAAAGUGGCAUUACAACACACUAUAGUACCCUCUCCCCGCCCCCCAAGGCAGUACUGACCUAUAAGCUUAUUCUUAAAAUGAGUCUGAUCUAUUUUUUCUUGGAACACUCUAUUAUCUUCCACUGCUGACUUGUUUUCUACACUGCGUUGUCAUGCCAGUCAGUAUUCAGUCUUGGAUAAGGUGUUUUUAUUUAUACAAAAAAGAAUGCCUACUGUUAAAAAAAAAAAAAAAAACUAAGGGGAAAAAGAGGAAAUUACCCAGGUUUCCACCUUCUAAACACACACACACACACACACACACACACACACACCUAGUUAACAUAAAAUCCUAUUUGUGUCUGGAUGCUAUCUCUUAGUUUUUUUUGCUGUAGUACCUGAAGAUAAGAAUGUUAGGAAAAUGGAGGAGAAAGGAAGGAAACAGGCCAGACUCAAUCUUUUAUGGGCGAGGACUGUUUAUUGAGAUAUAGCAGCAAGGGGCACAGCCUUUUAAGUGCUUGGAGUCUGUGUAAGGGGGAUGGGGUUGGAAUCAAGACUGCUGAGGAGUCUGAGCCAAGAGACUGGAGGUUACUGGAACUUAGUAUGGGGGGGAGGGGUGACUGCAGGUGCCAACAGAGACUAAGGUAAGUAUUCCCUUAUCCAAGGCCUCAAGCUUUUCAAUGUUCAAACAGCUCUACACCUGUCUUGCCUAGAUGGUGAGACCUUAACAGGAUCCUAUUUCUUA